GACGAACGCUGGCGGCGUGCCUAAUACAUGCAAGUAGAACGCUGAAGGAGGAGCUUGCUCUUCUGGAUGAGUUGCGAACGGGUGAGUAACGCGUAGGUAACCUGCCUGGUAGCGGGGGAUAACUAUUGGAAACGAUAGCUAAUACCGCAUAAGAGUAGAUGUUGCAUGACAUUUGCUUAAAAGGUGCAAUUGCAUCACUACCAGAUGGACCUGCGUUGUAUUAGCUAGUUGGUGGGGUAACGGCUCACCAAGGCGACGAUACAUAGCCGACCUGAGAGGGUGAUCGGCCACACUGGGACUGAGACACGGCCCAGACUCCUACGGGAGGCAGCAGUAGGGAAUCUUCGGCAAUGGACGGAAGUCUGACCGAGCAACGCCGCGUGAGUGAAGAAGGUUUUCGGAUCGUAAAGCUCUGUUGUAAGAGAAGAACGAGUGUGAGAGUGGAAAGUUCACACUGUGACGGUAUCUUACCAGAAAGGGACGGCUAACUACGUGCCAGCAGCCGCGGUAAUACGUAGGUCCCGAGCGUUGUCCGGAUUUAUUGGGCGUAAAGCGAGCGCAGGCGGUUAGAUAAGUCUGAGGUUAAAGGCUGUGGCUUAACCAUAGUACGCUUUGGAAACUGUUUAACUUGAGUGCAAGAGGGGAGAGUGGAAUUCCAUGUGUAGCGGUGAAAUGCGUAGAUAUAUGGAGGAACACCGGUGGCGAAAGCGGCUCUCUGGCUUGUAACUGACGCUGAGGCUCGAAAGCGUGGGGAGCAAACAGG
Molecule: ribosomal RNA, 763 nt
Filed under: uncultured Streptococcus sp.
Lineage: Bacteria; Bacillati; Bacillota; Bacilli; Lactobacillales; Streptococcaceae
Description: bacterial SSU rRNA
Rfam family: Bacterial small subunit ribosomal RNA
Source: RNAcentral